RNAcentral lists this long non-coding RNA (2167 nucleotides) under Mus musculus (house mouse). RNAcentral describes it as "predicted gene 3227". Lineage: Eukaryota; Metazoa; Chordata; Mammalia; Rodentia; Muridae. The record is from RNAcentral.
GGCCUUUCUGACACAGCACUGGGCCUGGCAGGGGCACUGUAGCCCCUUGGCUUUCUUCACAGAACUCUACUGGUUCUGGAAUGUGUGCAGCCAGGCUUGGUAAGGUCUUGCUUGGACACUGGGAUGUCUGGGUUUUUCUGAACCCCUGCUGGACUGUGGGCUGCCUUGGGGGAUGGUGCUGCUUUGUUCAGAAAAGAUACCCCCUCCCCCCUGCUGGACUGUGGGCUUGCUAUGCUCGCCCUUGCUGGGUUUUCUGCACCUGCCUUCUCUCUGGUAGCCAUCUUUGUUUUCAGGGGAGCCUCAGCAAUGGGUGAAUUCUCUCAGUGACUAAUGAGGGAAGCCCUGUCCUGUCCUCUUGAUCAGCACUGGUAUCAUAGAAGAGAGUGUGAGCUCUCUGGGCAGGGGAGGGACUUGGAAAGGGGUCUCACACAUUUGAGUACUAGCAUUAACUCCUGGUAAAGGUGUGGGGGUCUUAGGCUGCCCCUUAUUUCUGUAUUUUGUCCUUAGAACAACCAGAGGAGUCAGUCCUUCAGAUACAAGAACAUUCAGGAGUUUAUUUGGUAGUUUCUAGCUAGGGAGUCACAGUUCCCAGUCCAGGCAGUGUCUAUCAUUCAAUGGGGGCAAGAUGUGGGAGUCUCCAGGUUCAGUGAGGGCCCAGAAAGCCUUAUACCCUUCAACAUAGUCUGGUGUUUGAGUGAGGAGAAAGAGGAAGCAACACUGCUUUCUGCCCGUCUCAACUGCUUCUUUAGAGAUUCUAGCAGGGGAGGGUAGCUACUCCCAUACCUGUGACCAGACAAUGGUCUUCCUGUAUCAAGGAAGGCCGUCAUCUUUGACAGAGCAUGCAGCUCUGGGAGGGAUGUAUGUGGAGCAAAUUGAGAGGAAGGGAACACAUGACGAGCCAGCUAGAUCAGCCUAAUCAACCCUGGAGACUCCCGGGACGACAGAUGUCACAGUCACACUCCUCUCAGAUUUAGCCUGUCCACCUCUAGUACUCACCUACUCUGUGGCUGUGAGAAAACCCUUGACAAAAGCAACUUAAGAGAGGAGUAGGGGUUUGCCCUGGCCCAGGGCUUCAGAUGGUACAGCCCAGCAUCGUGGGGAAGGCAUGACAGAAUUCAUGGUGGCAGAAUUCCUUUUCUCCCUUUUUUGUCCAAGGCUCUAGCCCAUGGCAUGAUGACAUUCACAUUCAGGGUGUGCCAUCCCUUACCAGUUAACCUUCUCUGGAAACAUCCCCAUACUCCCAGCCAGAUGUGUGUCUCCUAGGUGACUCUAGACUGAGUGAAGUUGACAUCAUGUUGCCCAACAUGUGCAGAUUGGGUUUCUCAUCUUCCUGAGGCUGUUUCUCAUUCUAAAAAGGAGAUAGAGACCUAGUGUUUCCAGCCUUGACUUGGCAUGACCUGGACUACAGUGCUCGUAAGUAGGCCCGGGGCUAGAUCAUCUGUUUAUCUGUGUUGCUCCUGGCCAUAGUCCACUGUUUCCUUGGAGCUGUCUGGGAUGAUGAUGAUGAUAUGACAACGACAAUGUUGUCAAUGAUGAUGAGGACAACAAUAAUGCAUGUGUGCCUAGCACAUGUGGGUGUGGGUGCUGACACAUGCCCAUAGGCCAGAGAACAACUCUAUGGAGUCAGUUUCCCCCUUCUAUUUUUGCUUAGGUCCCAGGGAUUGAACUCAGGUUAUAAGGCUGCUACCUUAGUACUGAGCUAUCUCCCUGGUCCAAUCUGGUCUCCAAAGAGAAUUCCAAAUGGGCCACCUAUUUGCUGGUCACCUGGGACAUGCUAGUUUACCUUUCAGAGUUUUCCAGGCCCCAUUAUCUUUGAGCAUCCUUUCUCUUUUGUAUGUUCUCGGGCCAACUGAAGAGACCUGUUUCUUCUGCCGCCGCCGAGGCUGUGGAACAAACGAUCAGGAGGGAACGAGCAAGGAGGCUGCUGAGCUCAAACUGAAUUACAGAGACAAGGAGUAAAGAAAAGCCAUCCCUGCCUGUCAUUGGAGGACAGGAAGAAGUUAGAGGCUUGACGACGCUCAUCUCACUGGUCCUCAGGAGCUAUCUCCAUGUUGUCACCCCAUCUUAAUGUGGAUUUGGACUGUGGAACUGUGGGAAGGAGGGGACACAUGCCACAGAGCAGAAACACUGCUUUAAAGAAAAAAAAAAAAAAAGAAUCCUUUGCUGC